UAUCCAUUCCAAUCUAAUAAGCCGUUCAAUUGGCAUGACUAAUUUUUAAGAUAAACUGUCAACUUUUGUUUGAAAAUCGCCUCGAGUAAAUUUAAAAUAAAAUUAAUCGUUUCAAUUAAAUAAACUUUGAGUAAAGAAAAUACUCAGUAAAACUAGAAUCAAGAAAAAUUAUUGGAAAAUGUGUCUGUUACAAAAUUCUGUUACUGUUUACUGGCACUUAUUCAAUUGUUGAAAAUCGUCAGUUUACACUUGCAUACAUUCAAUCAAAUAAAUUCUUGAAUGAUAAUUGGAGAGUGGACUUGAAUCAACAUUUUUGAUCUUUGAUAUAGAUUAAAUUGCUUAAUUACUUAAUAUUAAACUAAACCACAUUUUCAUAUUCAUUUCAUGUACAAAGGUAUCUACUUUCUACAUAUUCACCGUGCGUCACUAAAUUCAUGAAUUUAUUUUACUAGGCAGAUGAGCACACCACCAACUCAUCCCACCUUUUAAGUAACCCUCACCCAUCGCCAUCCACCUACAAGGACAUGACACAUUGGUGUAACAGAUAUUACGAAUUUUGGCAACAAGACAAAACACAUAUGAAUCGCAUUCACAGCUUUGAAAUACAGGAUCAAAAUUUAAUCUCGAAAUCUGCGCAGAUUUCAAACAAGAACUGGUUUAACUGAAUUAAUCCACCUGCGCUUGGAUUAUCUUCAAAGAAAAAAUGCAAUGUUAGCAAUAAUAAAUAAUCUGAAACUUGUCGUCCCUCCAAA
Long non-coding RNA from Folsomia candida, 752 nucleotides. RefSeq lists it as uncharacterized. The transcript has 2 exons. The record is from RefSeq and is a predicted model, not a curated record. NCBI's taxonomy places the organism in Eukaryota, Metazoa, Arthropoda, Collembola, Entomobryomorpha, Isotomidae.